AUACGGAGGGUGCAAGCGUUAAUCGGAAUUACUGGGCGUAAAGCGUACGUAGGCGGUCCGUUAAGUUAGAUGUGAAAGCCCCGGGCUUAACCUGGGAACUGCAUUGAAAACUGGCGAACUAGAGUUGAGCAGAGGGGAGUGGAAUUUCAGGUGUAGCGGUGAAAUGCGUAGAGAUCUGAAGGAACACCAGUGGCGAAGGCGACUCCCUGGACUCGAACUGACGCUGAGGUACGAAAGCGUGGGUAGCAAACGGGAUUAGAAACCCCAGUAGUCC
RNAcentral lists this ribosomal RNA (274 nucleotides) under uncultured bacterium. RNAcentral's name for it is "partial 16S ribosomal RNA". It matches the Rfam family "Bacterial small subunit ribosomal RNA", at positions 523 to 796 of the family's 1533-position model. The record is from RNAcentral.